RNAcentral lists this ribosomal RNA (440 nucleotides) under uncultured bacterium. RNAcentral's name for it is "partial 16S ribosomal RNA". It matches the Rfam family "Bacterial small subunit ribosomal RNA", at positions 338 to 795 of the family's 1533-position model. The record is from RNAcentral.
CCUACGGGAGGCAGCAGUAGGGAAUAUUGCUCAAUGGGGGAAACCCUGAAGCAGCAACGCCGCGUGGAGGAUGAAGGUUUUCGGAUUGUAAACUCCUUUUGUUAGAGAAGAUAAUGAUGAUAUUUAACGAAUAAGCACCGGCUAACACCGUGCCAGCAGCCGCGGUAAUACGGAGGGUGCAGGCGUUACUCGGAAUCACUGGGCGUAAAGAGCGCGUAGGCGGGAUAGCAAGUCAGAUGUGAAAUCCUCUGGCUUAACCAUAGAACGGCAUGUGAAACUGUUAUUCUAGAGUACAGGAGAGGAAGGUGGAAUUCUUGGUGUAGCGGUAAAAUGCGUAGAGAUCAAGAGGAAUACUGAUUGCGAAGGCAGCCUUCUGGACCAUAACUGACGCUGAUGCGCGAAAGCGUGGGGAGCGAACAGGAUUAGAUACCCGUGUAGUC